Molecule: transfer RNA, 77 nt
Filed under: Candidatus Saccharimonadota bacterium
Lineage: Bacteria; Candidatus Saccharimonadota
Description: tRNA-Ile
Rfam family: tRNA
About the family: Transfer RNA (tRNA) molecules are approximately 80 nucleotides in length. Their secondary structure includes four short double-helical elements and three loops (D, anti-codon, and T loops). Further hydrogen bonds mediate the characteristic L-shaped molecular structure. tRNAs have two regions of fundamental functional importance: the anti-codon, which is responsible for specific mRNA codon recognition, and the 3' end, to which the tRNAs corresponding amino acid is attached (by aminoacyl-tRNA synthetases). tRNAs cope with the degeneracy of the genetic code in two manners: having more than one tRNA (with a specific anti-codon) for a particular amino acid; and 'wobble' base-pairing, i.e. permitting non-standard base-pairing at the 3rd anti-codon position.
Source: RNAcentral
GGGCGAUUAGCUCAGCUGGUUAGAGCGCUUCUCUGAUAAGGAAGAGGUCGGUGGUUCGAGUCCACCAUCGCCCACCA